CCGAAUUUAAAACUCACAACGCGAGUCUCGUGCGGAAGCAAAUAUGACUGCCGAGACUUUGUGACUCUUCAAGUCUUCCUUUGCUCAAGUCAAACCACACUCGUGAAGCACAUGUGACGAGUCUGUGGUGAGCAUCGGGAGCACUGCGUUUCCUUCGGGAUUCACAGUCUAAAAAACGAAUUGUAAAAGUAUAUAUAUAAACAAAAUAAGACGAAAAAAUC
This 221-nucleotide unclassified non-coding RNA is filed under the name soil metagenome. Its description in RNAcentral is "partial internal transcribed spacer 1". The record is from RNAcentral.